This 399-nucleotide ribosomal RNA is filed under the name uncultured bacterium. Its description in RNAcentral is "bacterial SSU rRNA". It matches the Rfam family "Bacterial small subunit ribosomal RNA", at positions 28 to 416 of the family's 1533-position model. The record is from RNAcentral.
GACGAACGCUGGCGGCGUGCUUAACACAUGCAAGUCGAACGCGAGAGGGGCUUCGGCCCCGAUUGAGUGGCGAACGGGUGAGUAACACGUGGGUGACCUACCUUCGAGUGGGGGAUAACGUCCCGAAAGGGACGCUAAUACCGCAUAACAUUCCGCUUUUGAACAAGUGGAAAUCAAAGCCGGGGAUCGUAAGACCUGGCGCUUGAAGAGGGGCCCGCGUCCGAUUAGCUAGUUGGUGAUGUAACGGCUCACCAAGGCGACGAUCGGUAGCCGGCCUGAGAGGGCGAUCGGCCACACUGGAACUGAGACACGGUCCCGACUCCUACGGGAGGCAGCAGUGGGGAAUAUUGGGCAAUGGGCGAAAGCCUGACCCAGCGACGCCGCGUGGGGAUGAAGGCC